Molecule: transfer RNA, 64 nt
Filed under: Ictidomys tridecemlineatus (thirteen-lined ground squirrel)
Lineage: Eukaryota; Metazoa; Chordata; Mammalia; Rodentia; Sciuridae
Description: Spermophilus tridecemlineatus (thirteen-lined ground squirrel) tRNA
Rfam family: tRNA
About the family: Transfer RNA (tRNA) molecules are approximately 80 nucleotides in length. Their secondary structure includes four short double-helical elements and three loops (D, anti-codon, and T loops).
Source: Rfam by way of RNAcentral
GGGGAUUUAGCUCAGUUGAUAGAGUAGUUGCCUGGCAUGCAUAAGGCCCUGGGUUCAAUCCCCA